GAAAGGAGAGAAGGGCGCAUGAAGGAUGCCUUGGCUCUCGGAGGCGACGAAGGACGUGACAAGCUGCGAUAAGCCGCGCGUAGAGGCAAAUACUCAUUGAUGCGCGGAUUUCCGAAUGGGGCAACCCGCCGGAAGCGAUUCCGGCACCUGACCAAGUCAGGGGCGAACCCGGGGAACUGAAACAUCUAAGUACCCGGAGGAAAAGAAAACAAACCAGUGAUAGCGCAAGUAGCGGCGAGCGAACGCGCCAGAGCCCAAACCCGGGCCGUUGCAAAGCGGCGCCGGGGGUAGUAGGACCGUCGACAAAGCGAUCAUCGAAAGUUAGCAGAACCUUCUGGAAAGGAGGGCCGAAGCGGGUGAAAGCCCCGUAAGCGAAAACCCAAGAUGGAGCGAGACGGCACCUGAGUAAGCCGGAACACGAGAAAUUCUGGCCGAAUCCGCGGGGACCAUCCCGUAAGGCUAAAUACUACCGAGAGACCGAUAGCGAACCAGUACCGUGAGGGAAAGGUGAAAAGGACCUCGAACAGAGGAGUGAAACAGACCCUGAAAUCAUGCGCCUACAAGCGGUCGGAGCCACUGCGUGUGGUGACGGCGUGCCUUUUGCAUAAUGAUCCUACGAGUUGCCAUCGCCGGCGAGGCUAAGUGCCACAGGCACGGAGCCGAAGCGAAAGCGAGUCCGAAGAGGGCGCGUAGUCGGCGGGGGCAGACGCGAAACCAAGUGAUCUACCCUUGGGCAGGUUGAAGGUGAGGUAACACUCACUGGAGGACCGAACCGGUAAGCGUUGAAAAGCUUUCGGAUGACCUGAGGGUAGGAGUGAAAGGCCAAUCAAACUUGGAGAUAGCUCGUACUCCCCGAAAUGCAUUUAGGUGCAGCCUCGGGGUCAAUACCGCGGAGGUAGAGCGACUGAUAGGAUGCGAGGGCUUCACCGCCUGUCAAGUCCUGACAAACUCCGAAUGCCGGUAAUUUUACAACGGGAGAAAGGGCGUGGGUGCUAAGGUCCACGCCCGAGAGGAGAAGAAUCCGGACCGUCGGCUAAGGUCCCGGAGUGCAUGUUAAGUUAGUCUAACGAGGUGCGGCCCCCGCGACAGCUAGGAUGUUGGCUUGGAAGCAGCCAUUCAUUCAAAGAGUGCGUAACAGCUCACUAGUCGAGGGUCUGCGCGUGGAUAAUAAUCGGGUAUGAAACAUGCCGCCGAAGCCACGGGAUUCACUAUUAUUUAGUGGAUCGGUAGGGGAGCAUUCCAUUUUCGGUGAAGGUAUUCCGUGAGGAGUGCUGGAGAUCAUGGAAAAGCAAAUGUAGGUAUAAGUAACGAUAAGGGGGGUGGGAUGCCCCCCCGCCGUAAGGUCAAGGUUUCCUGAACAACGUUAAUCGGUUCAGGGUUAGCCGGGUCCUAAGGAUAAGCCGAAGGGCGAAGCCGACGGAUGAAACGGUUAAUAUUCCGUUGCCGGCUUAUAUAAGUGAUGCGGUGAAGGAGCAGUGAAACUCUCGCGCCCUGACGGAACAGGGCGUUGAAGCACGAAGGCGUUAUGGUUCCGUAGUAAAGUACGCGGGAUUAGUCGAAGUGCGACAGUACGCAGACCCUUCGGGGCGAGCGACAGUAGAGGUAAUGGCUUCCGAGAAAACCCGCUAAACGUUAAUAUAUAAGCCGCCCGUACUGUAAACGGACACACGUGACCGGGUAGAACAUACUAAGGCGCUAGGGAGACUCACGGUUAAGGAACUAGGCAAAAUGACCCUGUAACUUCGGGAGAAAGGGUCCUGCGGUGCGAGCCGCAGGCGCAGAGAAAAGGUCCAGGCAACUGUUUACCAAAAACACAGGGCUGUGCGAAGUAUAAAGACGACGUAUACAGCCUGACACCUGCCCGGUGCCGGAAGGUUAAGAGGAGGUCUCAGCAACUUCUGUUGUGAAGGUCCGAAUUGAAGCCCCGGUAAACGGCGGCCGUAACUAUAACGGUCCUAAGGUAGCGAAAUUCCUUGUCGGGUAAGUUCCGACCUGCACGAAUGGCGUAACGAUCUCCACACUGUCUCGGCCAGAGACUCGGUGAAAUUGAAGUCGCGGUGAAAAUGCCGUGUACCCGCAGAAAGACGGAAAGACCCUGUGCACCUUUACUAUAGCUUGACAUUGGGAUUUGAGCCUGCAUGUGUAGCAUAGGUGGGAGCCUGUGAACUCUGUACGCCAGUAUGGAGGGAGGCAACGUUGAAAUACCACCCUUGUUUGUUCAGGUCCCUAACGACGCGCCGUGAUCCGGCCGUUGGACAGUGUCUGGUGGGUAGUUUGACUGGGGCGGUCGCCUCCCAAAAAGUAACGGAGGCAUGCAAAGGUUCCCUCAGGCUGAUUGGAAACCAGCCGUCGAGUGCAAACGCAAAAGGGAGCUUGACUACAAGAGAGACAUCUCGAGCAGGUACGAAAGUAGGUGUUAGUGAUCCGG
This 2428-nucleotide ribosomal RNA is filed under the name pig gut metagenome. RNAcentral's name for it is "bacterial LSU rRNA". It matches the Rfam family "Bacterial large subunit ribosomal RNA", at positions 1 to 2423 of the family's 2925-position model. The record is from RNAcentral.